UUUACUUUUUUUUAGGACCCAACUGGCUGGAUAGACCUCGAACAAUGUGUUGGAUCAGGAGGAUUUGGAGUAAUCCAUAAGGCAUGGCAUUUUAAGGAAAAGAAAGAAGUGGCCAUAAAAGUGAUAAAAGACCUUAGGGAUAAUGAAGAGAUCCUUGCUGAACUGUACGUACUUGAACGCGUUUCUGGCCACGACAACUUCCCUGCCUUUUAUGGAGCCUUUUAUC
Long non-coding RNA from Xenopus laevis (African clawed frog), 226 nucleotides. RefSeq lists it as uncharacterized. The record is from RefSeq and is a predicted model, not a curated record. The transcript has 3 exons. NCBI's taxonomy places the organism in Eukaryota, Metazoa, Chordata, Amphibia, Anura, Pipidae.